Molecule: ribosomal RNA, 475 nt
Filed under: uncultured bacterium
Lineage: Bacteria
Description: bacterial SSU rRNA
Rfam family: Bacterial small subunit ribosomal RNA
Source: RNAcentral
GAUCAUGGCUCAGGAUGAACGCUGGCGGCGUGCCUAACACAUGCAAGUCGAGCGAUUCUCUUCGGAGAAGAGCGGCGGACGGGUGAGUAACGCGUGGGUAACCUGCCCUAUACACACGGAUAACGUACCGAAAGGUACGCUAAUACGAGAUAAUAUGCUUUAGUCGCAUGGCUGAAGUAUCAAAGCUCCGGCGGUAUAGGAUGGACCCGCGUCUGAUUAGCUAGUUGGUAAGGUAAUGGCUUACCAAGGCGACGAUCAGUAGCCGACCUGAGAGGGUGAUCGGCCACAUUGGAACUGAGACACGGUCCAAACUCCUACGGGAGGCAGCAGUGGGAAUAUUGCACAAUGGGCGAAAGCCUGAUGCAGCAACGCCGCGUGAGCGAUGAAGGCCUUCGGGUCGUAAAGCUCUGUCCUCAAGGAAGAUAAUGACGGUACUUGAGGAGGAAGCCCCGGCUAACUACGUGCCAGCCGCGGC